UACAGAGGUCUCAAGCGUUGUUCGGAUUCAUUGGGCGUAAAGGGUGCGUAGGCGGCGCGGUAAGUCGGGUGUGAAAUCUUGGAGCUUAACUCCGAAACUGCAUUCGAUACUGCCGUGCUUGUGGACUGGAGAGGAGACUGGAAUUUACGGUGUAGCGGUGAAAUGCGUAGAUAUCGUAAGGAAGACCAGUGGCGAAGGCGGGUCUCUGGACAGUUCCUGACGCUGAGGCACGAAGGCCAGGGGAGCAAACGGG
Molecule: ribosomal RNA, 253 nt
Filed under: uncultured bacterium
Lineage: Bacteria
Description: partial 16S ribosomal RNA
Rfam family: Bacterial small subunit ribosomal RNA
Source: RNAcentral